ACAUACUACUUUAUAUGCCCAUA
RNAcentral lists this microRNA (23 nucleotides) under Sarcophilus harrisii (Tasmanian devil). Its description in RNAcentral is "Sha-Mir-1-P3_5p* (star (passenger))". The record is from RNAcentral. RNAcentral also lists the same sequence under 1 other name. Lineage: Eukaryota; Metazoa; Chordata; Mammalia; Dasyuromorphia; Dasyuridae.